GACGAACGCUGGCGGCGUGCUUAACACAUGCAAGUCGAACGGAAAGGCCCCUUUGGGGGUACUCGAGUGGCGAACGGGGGAGUAACACGUGAGUAACCUUCCCUUGACUUCGGGAUAACUUCAGGAAACUGGGGCUAAUACCGGCUAGGAAUCCUUGCUGCAUGGUGGGGGUUGGAAAGCUUCGGCGGUUUUGGAUGGACUCGCGGCGUAUUAGCUUGUUGGUGGGGUAGUGGCUUACCAAGGCGUUGACGGGUAGCCGGCCUGAGAGGGCGACCGGCCACAUUGGGACUGAGGUGCGGCCCAGACUCCUACGGGAGGCAGCAGUGGGGAAGCUUGCACAAUGGGCGGAAGCCUGAUGCAGCAAGGCCGCGUGCGGGAUGACGGCCUUCGGGUUGUAAACCGCUUUCAGCAGGGGCGAAGCUUGUGGUGACGGUACCUGCAGAAGAAGCACCGGCUAACUACGUG
RNAcentral lists this ribosomal RNA (465 nucleotides) under uncultured bacterium. Its description in RNAcentral is "partial 16S ribosomal RNA". It matches the Rfam family "Bacterial small subunit ribosomal RNA", at positions 28 to 507 of the family's 1533-position model. The record is from RNAcentral.